RNAcentral lists this unclassified non-coding RNA (479 nucleotides) under plant metagenome. RNAcentral describes it as "partial contains small subunit ribosomal RNA, internal transcribed spacer 1, and 5.8S ribosomal RNA". The record is from RNAcentral.
UCUCCGUAGGUGAACCUGCGGAGGGAUCAUUAACACGUGCAUAAACAACACGUUUCAUAACCCAAUAACCCGUGAACUAGAAACAACACUCCCUUCACAGUGUGACCGAGCGAACAAUCAUUAGGGUGGAGUGCUGGACAAAAGGAAGGAGAACAAUCAGUAGCAUUAACCCUUGGGUUGAUGUUGCUGACUCUGCUUUCUUCUCGCACUAUGACUCGCUCUAGGGAUCCUUUUUUGAGAUCCCAAUCCGCUGUGAAGUGACCUUUUGCCGCCACCUGGUAGUCUGUUGAUUGCCAGUCCGUCGGGUCUGACAUGGCGCAGCGUUCUGCCGAAUCUAACCAACAACAUUUUUAACCCCUUUAACAACAUACUAAAAACUGAACCUUUUUUUUCAUAAUGUGUCUACCUUGUGUAUAUGCAUGUUGAAAAAAGAUAUACGUAAUGCUGAACAACUCUUAGCAAUGGAUAUCUUGGUUCUC